Molecule: ribosomal RNA, 557 nt
Filed under: Botryosphaeria dothidea
Lineage: Eukaryota; Fungi; Ascomycota; Dothideomycetes; Botryosphaeriales; Botryosphaeriaceae
Description: eukaryotic LSU rRNA
Rfam family: 5.8S ribosomal RNA (bases 183-336)
Source: RNAcentral
GGUUAGAAAUUGAUUCGGGCUCGGCCGAUCCUCCCACCCUUUGUGUACCUACCUCUGUUGCUUUGGCGGGCCGCGGUCCUCCGCGGCCGCCCCCCUCCCCGGGGGGGUGGCCAGCGCCCGCCAGAGGACCAUCAAACUCCAGUCAGUAAACGAUGCAGUCUGAAAAACAUUUAAUAAACUAAAACUUUCAACAACGGAUCUCUUGGUUCUGGCAUCGAUGAAGAACGCAGCGAAAUGCGAUAAGUAAUGUGAAUUGCAGAAUUCAGUGAAUCAUCGAAUCUUUGAACGCACAUUGCGCCCUUUGGUAUUCCGAAGGGCAUGCCUGUUCGAGCGUCAUUACAACCCUCAAGCUCUGCUUGGUAUUGGGCACCGUCCUUUGCGGGCGCGCCUCAAAGACCUCGGCGGUGGCGUCUUGCCUCAAGCGUAGUAGAACAUACAUCUCGCUUCGGAGCGCAGGGCGUCGCCCGCCGGACGAACCUUCUGAACUUUUCUCAAGGUUGACCUCGGAUCAGGUAGGGAUACCCGCUGAACUUAAGCAUAUCAAAGAGCCGAAGGAA